GUUUGAUCCUGGCUCAGAAUGAACGCUAGCGAAAAGCUUAACACAUGCAAGUUGAAUGUUUUUUAAACAUAGCGAACGGGUGAGUAACGCGUAAGAAUCUACCAAAGAAUUUGUGUUGAUCACAAAUAGUUGUAAAGAUAUGUAGUAUCGUUUUUUGAUGAGCUUGCGUAAGAUUAGAUAGUUGGUGGGGUAAAGGCCUACCAAGUCAAUGAUCUUUCACUGGUCUUAGCGGAUGACCAGUCACACUGGGACUGAGAUACGGCCCAGACU
RNAcentral lists this ribosomal RNA (270 nucleotides) under Ostreococcus mediterraneus. RNAcentral's name for it is "partial Bacterial small subunit ribosomal RNA". It matches the Rfam family "Bacterial small subunit ribosomal RNA", at positions 11 to 337 of the family's 1533-position model. The record is from RNAcentral. Lineage: Eukaryota; Viridiplantae; Chlorophyta; Mamiellophyceae; Mamiellales; Bathycoccaceae.